AAGACCUUGCGCUUUUGGAGCGGCCGAUGCCUGAUUAGCUUGUUGGUAAGGUAAAGGCUUACCAAGGCUUCGAUCAGUAGCUGGUCUGAGAGGACGGCCAGCCACACUGGGACUGAGACACGGCCCAGACUCCUACGGGAGGCAGCAGUGGGGAAUUUUGGACAAUGGGGGAAACCCUGAUCCAGCCAUGCCGCGUGAGUGAAGAAGGCCUUCGGGUUGUAAAGCUCUUUCAGCCGGAACGAAACGGUUACGGAUAAUACCCGUGACUACUGACGGUACCGGAAGAAGGAGCACCGGCUAACUACGUGCCAGCAGCCGCGGUAAUACGUAGGGUGCGAGCGUUAAUCGGAAUUACUGGGCGUAAAGCGUGCGCAGGUGGUUUUGUAAGUCAGAUGUGAAAGCCCCGGGCUCAACCUGGGAACU
This 423-nucleotide ribosomal RNA is filed under the name uncultured bacterium. RNAcentral describes it as "bacterial SSU rRNA". It matches the Rfam family "Bacterial small subunit ribosomal RNA", at positions 207 to 622 of the family's 1533-position model. The record is from RNAcentral.